GGGGCGGUAGCUCAGCCGGUCAGAGCAGGAGACUCAUAAUCUCUGGGUCGCGGGUUCGAGUCCCGCCCGCCCUACCC
This 77-nucleotide transfer RNA is filed under the name Actinomadura sp. CNU-125. RNAcentral's name for it is "tRNA-Met". It matches the Rfam family "tRNA". From Rfam's summary of the family: Transfer RNA (tRNA) molecules are approximately 80 nucleotides in length. Their secondary structure includes four short double-helical elements and three loops (D, anti-codon, and T loops). Further hydrogen bonds mediate the characteristic L-shaped molecular structure. tRNAs have two regions of fundamental functional importance: the anti-codon, which is responsible for specific mRNA codon recognition, and the 3' end, to which the tRNAs corresponding amino acid is attached (by aminoacyl-tRNA synthetases). tRNAs cope with the degeneracy of the genetic code in two manners: having more than one tRNA (with a specific anti-codon) for a particular amino acid; and 'wobble' base-pairing, i.e. permitting non-standard base-pairing at the 3rd anti-codon position. The record is from RNAcentral. Lineage: Bacteria; Bacillati; Actinomycetota; Actinomycetes; Streptosporangiales; Thermomonosporaceae. RNAcentral also lists the same sequence under 1 other name.